UUAUGUUAUGCUAUCUAUUAGUAUUAUAUAGGAUCUCGAGAAACAAAAUCUUGUAUUUUAAGAUCCAAAUUAUUCUCCUGGCCCAUAAUGCAUAAACCGUAAUCGCACUAAGAUAGUACACUAACAUUUUUGCACCAAGGGGUCCAUUUUUUCUAUAUACAAAUGCUUCUUUAUUUCCUUAAUUCCACCAUAUAAUAAAAAGGUCCCUUCUUCAUCUUCUUUGUGAGCUUCUUGAUUUCUUGAUCAUGGAGAAGAGUAAAUCACUCCCUUAUCACUCUACUUCUUAUGCCGAAUCAAGAUUUGAUUUCGAGGAGAGGACUUAUAAUAAGUCUUACAGCUUCAAUGGCGGGUCGGGCGAAAAUCGAGAAGUUAAGAGGAGGAAAAGGGUGGCUGGUUAUAACAUGUACUCCAUGGAAGUAGGAUCGAUUCCUCGAAGCACGCAGUUCGAUACAUUUGGAAACGAUUCGUAUCUAGGCAACACAACGUUGUGGAUUUCCUUUGACGUUGGACUGCAAUGACAAUAGAACUCCACAAGAAGAGGAGCAGUCAGCAUUUUUUUGCUGAAUUUUGUUGGCAAAUUGCUCGUGUAGGAUUCAUUUGUGGAAUUCAAUUUGGAUUUCUUGCUUUAUCUUAUAGAAGAUCAAACCUUGUAUGAAAUACUCCCUAUGUGGCUAAUCAUGUAUUGUACUUCCUUUUUUUCCUUUCUUGAAAACUGAUAGCACCUAUUUUGCACA
Long non-coding RNA from Lycium ferocissimum, 734 nucleotides. RefSeq lists it as uncharacterized. The record is from RefSeq and is a predicted model, not a curated record. The transcript is spliced from 2 exons. Lineage: Eukaryota; Viridiplantae; Streptophyta; Magnoliopsida; Solanales; Solanaceae.